Pollicipes pollicipes is the source of this 824-nucleotide RNA transcript. It is a transcript of the gene named mitochondrial ribosomal protein S11, with no coding region annotated. Lineage: Eukaryota; Metazoa; Arthropoda; Thecostraca; Pollicipedomorpha; Pollicipedidae. The transcript has 5 exons. The record is from RefSeq and is a predicted model, not a curated record.
AUUUUCUUCCUCUUUCUCGGGUGGAGUUUCGGGCAGUGAAGGCGUGUGUGCGGGUGCUCCGCGCUCAUUGUAGUACAAUUUCGCUCUAGGAGGCAGCAGAAUGCUUAAAUUGUGCCCUGGUAUGGGUAGGUUGUUACAGAGAGUACUGUACUCACCAGAAAAGUCACUGGUUGCCUUGAAGAUAAAUUGUAAAGAAAACUGCAUUAAAUGUGGGCUGAGAACCAUGAUACCAAGCCAAGCAGGCAGACCUUUCCAUGCUGGUGAAGUUUUGGGCAAGGAGGAUGGUCGCAGAGCUGUGAAAGUGCCCAAACCUGAUGAUGGAACUGAGGGUGAAGCAAGCAUUGGUCUGGACUACAGGCUAUCAGAACAGACAGCACAUUCCCAGAUGAAAAUACUCCCAAUAUCCUGGUGGACGGGGUGAAGUUCUCAGACCUGCCGAUUUGCAGUGUGAGGGUCUCAAAGAACAACACAGUGUUCUCAAUUUCUACAUCUCAAGGGCUUGUGAAGAUGAUACGUUCCUGUGGAAUGGAGGGUUUUAAGAACACCAAGAAAGGUACAAAUGUUGCUGCUCAGGCAACUGGAAUUGCAAUGGCUGUGAGAGCCUUGAACAAAGGCUACAAGAAUGUCCGGGUGCUGAUUCGAGGCCUGGGGCCAGGGCGCAUGAGCUCGGUGAAAGGCUUGCAGUUGGGUGGUUUGAACAUCGUGUCUCUCACAGACGCGACCCCGGUGACGUGGAACUGCUACAGACCCCGCAAGGCAAGACGAUUGUGAAAGGUUAGGUGCGUUGGGUGACCCCCUUCAGUGAUGAAGCAAGAGAAAGUAAG